CUUAAUAAAGCAGGCCAGGGGAGGGGGCAGCAGAGGACUAUUACCCCUUGGAACUGCGUUGGAGAAAUUUAACUAGGAGAGGAGUCGAGUCUGGGGACUAGAGGCACACCAGAUGAAUUACUUAGGGAUGAAAAAUUUAUCUGAGUGGUUGUGGUGUCUGAAACAGAAAUGAGACAGCAUCUAUUUAUAGCUUCACUUGGAUGCAGAGCUCAGACUACACUGUGAACUGCCAGCCAUGUGUUUAUUACUCAUUACAUUUCUGACUUAUGACAGGAAUAAAACCACAAAGACAUAAGGAAGUCUUUCUUCACCAUCCAGCACUGUAUUUAAGGCUAGCAUUAUUCUGUAUUUUCCUUUUCUUUCCCACAAUAACCCUUUUUUGCAGUUAAACCCGCUGCCUACUUCUCUUGGUUUAUGAACUGUGGAUUCUUAUCAAUAAACCUGUAUCCGUUGGUGAUAUUAGUCUUGUGCUAUUCUGUCACUGUCUGCACUUGGAGUAUUAACAUGAAUAUUCCUGGGAGGAAACCCUUUCAGACUUCCAUGAAGAGAAGAGGAUCACCUGAGGCCCUUCUGGGAUAGACCAUUUCUACCUACGCUGUCCCUCCAACUUCUCAGGGAG
This is a non-coding RNA of Peromyscus maniculatus bairdii (prairie deer mouse), 619 nucleotides long. The record is from RefSeq and is a predicted model, not a curated record. NCBI's taxonomy places the organism in Eukaryota, Metazoa, Chordata, Mammalia, Rodentia, Cricetidae.